RNAcentral lists this ribosomal RNA (408 nucleotides) under uncultured bacterium. Its description in RNAcentral is "partial 16S ribosomal RNA". It matches the Rfam family "Bacterial small subunit ribosomal RNA", at positions 28 to 526 of the family's 1533-position model. The record is from RNAcentral.
GACGAACGCUGGCGGCGUGCUUAACACAUGCAAGUCGAACGAAGUGGCGAACGGGUGAGUAACGCGUAAUCAACCUGCCCUUCAGAGGGGGACAACAGUUGGAAACGACUGCUAAUACCGCAUACUGAAGGAGGGGAUUGCGUCUGCUAAGCUAGUUGGCGGGGUAACGGCCCAGCAAGGCGAUGAUCAGUAGCCGGUCUGUGGAGAUGAACGGGCACAUUGGGACUGGGACACGGCCCAGACUCCCACGGGAAGCAGGAGUGGGGAAUCUUCAGCGAUGGACGAAAGUCUGACGGAGCAACUCCGCGUGAGUGAUGACGGCCUUCGGGUUGUAAAGCUCCGUUAAUCGGGACGCGGUACCGGAAGAGAAAGCCACGGCUAACUACGUGCCAGCCGCCGCGGUAAUAC